This is a long non-coding RNA of Paramormyrops kingsleyae, 2249 nucleotides long. RefSeq lists it as uncharacterized. NCBI's taxonomy places the organism in Eukaryota, Metazoa, Chordata, Actinopteri, Osteoglossiformes, Mormyridae. The record is from RefSeq and is a predicted model, not a curated record.
CCCUGGGUUGGCAAAUUUGUCCUGAAGUCGCAGAGGCUAAACCCAAAGGGAUUGAGGAUGAGGAGAUGAAAUGUCUGCCCUGCAUAAAGAAAUGCAAAACGAGCACAACUUGCAGUAAUUGUGAAUUACCAUUCAUCAUCACCAUUCACCAUCAUCACCGUCUCAUUCUGGCGGAUCUGUAGAAAUCCAAGGAAGUUUGGAGAUAGAAACCCUUCAGCAGCUCUGACCAAUGAGAUUUGCCUCCAACUACUGCCUUCGGAGCCAUCCAGGUGGCAUCCUCAGAAGAUGGCUAAGCCCUGUAGCAGCAGUUCUACCUGAAGGUCCCAGGGUUAGAACUGCAACAGCAACAAGCACAGGGUGAACCUCCCAUCAAGGCAAGGCUGAUUAGAAAUUAGGGUAACACUUUACUUAAGGGGGCACAAAUAUUUAGUACUCAGUUACUACUAACUUAAGUAACAAAUAUCAUGAACAAAUAUUGUAGCUAAAGAUGCAUCACGACUCAUUAAUGAUGCACAAACAUGAGAUCAGCAUUUCACAUGUGCUAUAUUCAUUAUAUGUUCCUCCAGUAGUUCCUUCAAUAGUUCACAAAAGUUUACAGAAUUUACAUACAUAGUAACAGAUAUCGUAGCCGAUUGAGAAAACAUGCCAUAAAUCAUUAAUGAUGAAUUAACAUGAGAUGAGUAUGUAACACUUAAUUUGUGGUUAAUUAAUAGCAUACUGUAAUGCUACAUUAUUUGUGGCCCCUUAAGUAAAAUGUUACUGAAAUUGCAAUCCAAAAACACAAUGAGGAUGAAGGGGAAUUAGUAGGUGGGUUUUGGUGGUUAGAAAGGGCUGUGGAGGGAUAGAGAUCAGGGAGCUGGUUAAUUAAGCCCAAGGUGUUUGAUUGUCGGUCCACAACACGCACGCCGAAUUUAUGGCAGAUGGCUGCUAUCCCGGGUGCUGAAAGAGUGGUGUGGUUUCUUGUCAAUUAGCCAGAUGGGACUGCAGGUCCUGGAGACAGUAUUAUAACAGCCCCCCCUGCCCUCAGAGAGAGAGCUGGCGUGCCCAUGUCCAUGCACAGGCCUAAUCUUGCAGGGAGAGGAAUCAGACGGCGAUAUGGGCUUUCUCCUUAGCUGAGGUGAUCCACUGGAGUGCCGCAUGGCUGAUCACCAACAUGAACUGUCACCCAAGUAGGUAAUAGUGGAGUUUGGUGACGGCCCAAUCUUAGGCAGUCUAAGAAAUGUUUUUAGCUAUUUAUUUGGGUACUUAGUGUAUAUUUGUUCAGAAAAACAGCACAAUUUAACAUUAGAAAAUAUGCAAAUUAAAAGAGAGAGAAUUUUUUUAUGUAGUGGUUGAUAUGACAACUAAAACAUGAAAAGCCUAAUUCAAUGCAAUGCUAUUUGUAUGUCGCAUCAAUUUUUUGUGUAUUUGUCCAGUUCCUUAUAAAACUGAAGAAUGGUGAAACAAUCCAUGCAGUUCCCAGUCCACAAGACAGAAGUAAAGUUUUUACCUACAGGCAAUUAGGCUUUUCUUCAUCAACCUUUUUAUCUACAGGCAAUUAGGCUUUUCACCAAAACGAACUGCAUUUCAAAUCUGGCCACAAUUAAUACUCCCAUUAUGUAUGACAAAUGUAAAGAGUUUGUUCAUGGAAGCUUUGCAGGUUAUUUACAUGCUGUAGACAACAUCAGCAAGGUAUCGGAAGCCAUACACUGUAUAUUCAUUGUCUAUAAUGGGGCUUUUUUGGUUUCUUGUCUUAUAAUAGAGAAAAGACUGUAUGCCUUUUUACAUUUUUAUUCUGUUAGAAGUGGUAAUUACUGGCAUUUUACUGUCCUCAGAAAAAAAAUGAUAAAUGCAGCAGUCUUCUGUGGAACAAGAAGAAAAUUAUAGAAGAAUAUAACCUUUCUGCUGACACCUCCUGAGAGAUGUGAGGGAAAAGGAAGCCAUAGUCCAUUAUGGGUGUUUAUUAUUUUCAUUUAUUCAGCAUUUAUUUUCUAAAAUGCAUACACCCACUUCCUCCAUUUGAUGCUGUGUGAGGGACUGUGUGAUAAUUGCCAUUACUGAGCCUCUCGUUUUGUUCGUCUAUCUGUUCCCUACUUGUACCUGUUUCACUGACUGAUUUCGGAGUUGGUUUCACACCUGGUUUGCCAGCCUGUUUUAGCCCAUUUAUCGUAUUUUCUCUGCAUUUAGAUUCUUGAUUCAGUUUCUGUCGGCCCGCCUGGUUUUGACUCUUGCUUUCUGAUUGUGGAUAGUGAUUAAAGACUCCCUCUGCA